UCCCGUUGAUCCUGCGGGAGGUUGCUGCUAUUAGGAUUCGACUAAGCCAUGCAAGUUAGGGAGUCUUCGGACUACCAGCAUAAUGCUCAGUAACACGUCGAUAAUCUGCCUUUAGGUCAGGAAUAACCUUGGGAAACUGAGGCUAAUACCUGAUAGAGAAAGAUAUUGAAACAUUCUUUCUUGAAAGUUUCGGUGCCUAAAGAUGAGACGGCGGCUUAUUAGGUUGUUGGUAGGGUAAUGGCCUACCAAGCCGAAGAUAAGUAGGGGCCUUGAGAGAGGGAGCCCCGAGAAGGGCACUGGCACACUGGCCCUAGCUCUACGGAGUGCAGCAGGCGCGAAACCUUUACAAUACACGAAAGUGUGAUAAGGGGAUCCUAAGUGCUGAUACAUUGUAUCGGCUUUUUUCAAGACUAAAUCUCUUGGAGAAUAAGUGGUGGGAAAGACUGGUGCCAGCAGCCGCGGUAACACCAGCGCCACAAGUGGCAGCCAUUUUUAUUGGGCCUAAAAGGUUCGUAGCCGGUUUGAUAAAUCCUUUGUGAAAUUGUUGUGCCUAACAUAACAACGUGCAGAGGACACUGUUAAACUUGGAAUCGGGAGGGGUUAGAAGUAUUUUAGGGGUAGCGGUAAAAUGUUAUAAUCCCUAAAGGACUAUCGGUGGCGAAGGCGUCUAACCAGCACGAAUUCGACGGUGAGGAACGAAAGCUAGGGGAGCGAUCCGGAUUAGAUACCCGAGUAGUCCUAGCUGUAAACGCUGUGAGCAAGGUGGUGCAUAUUCUUCGGGAAUAUGCAGCGUCGAAACGAAGGUGUUAAGCUCACUGCCUGGGGAGUACGGUCGCAAGGCUGAAACUUAAAGGAAUUGGCGGGGGAGCACCACAAGGGGUGCGGCGUGCGGUUUAAUCUAACUCAACGCAGAGAAUCUUACCAAGAGCGACGGCAGGAUGAAGGUCUAGCUAAAUACUAUACCAGACAAGCCGAGAGGUAGCGCAUGGCCGUCGUCAGCUCGUGCCGUGAGGUGUCCUGUUAAGUCAGGCAACGAGCGAGACCUGUACCUACAAUUGCUAACAACCUUUGGGAUUGAGCACUUUGUAGGGACUGCCUGUGAAAACAGGAGGAAGGUGCAGACUACGGUAGGUCUGUAUGCUCCGAAUCUCUUGGGAUACACGCGCGCAACAAUGGUAGGGACAAUAGGAUACAACUCCGAAAGGAGAAGUUAAUCCCCUAAACCCUAUCUAAGUCCGGAUUGAGGAUUGUAACUCAUCCUCAUGACGCUGGAAUCCCUAGUAAUCGGGUGUUAUCAUCGCCCGGUGAAUAUGUCCCUGCUCCUUGCACACACCGCCCGUCAAACCAACCGAGAAGGGUUUAGGUGAGUAUUAGGCUUUUACCUAAUCCGAAUCUAAGCUCAGUGAGGUGGGUUAAGUCGUCACAAGGUA
RNAcentral lists this ribosomal RNA (1430 nucleotides) under metagenome. RNAcentral describes it as "bacterial SSU rRNA". It matches the Rfam family "Archaeal small subunit ribosomal RNA". The record is from RNAcentral.